This 1552-nucleotide ribosomal RNA is filed under the name Shigella sonnei. RNAcentral's name for it is "partial 23S ribosomal RNA". It matches the Rfam family "Bacterial large subunit ribosomal RNA", at positions 1405 to 2925 of the family's 2925-position model. Lineage: Bacteria; Pseudomonadati; Pseudomonadota; Gammaproteobacteria; Enterobacterales; Enterobacteriaceae. The record is from RNAcentral.
AAAGGCGUAGUCGAUGGGAAACAGGUUAAUAUUCCUGUACUUGGUGUUACUGCGAAGGGGGGACGGAGAAGGCUAUGUUGGCCGGGCGACGGUUGUCCCGGUUUAAGCGUGUAGGCUGGUUUUCCAGGCAAAUCCGGAAAAUCAAGGCUGAGGCGUGAUGACGAGGCACUACGGUGCUGAAGCAACAAAUGCCCUGCUUCCAGGAAAAGCCUCUAAGCAUCAGGUAACAUCAAAUCGUACCCCAAACCGACACAGGUGGUCAGGUAGAGAAUACCAAGGCGCUUGAGAGAACUCGGGUGAAGGAACUAGGCAAAAUGGUGCCGUAACUUCGGGAGAAGGCACGCUGAUAUGUAGGUGAAGUCCCUUGCGGAUGGAGCUGAAAUCAGUCGAAGAUACCAGCUGGCUGCAACUGUUUAUUAAAAACACAGCACUGUGCAAACACGAAAGUGGACGUAUACGGUGUGACGCCUGCCCGGUGCCGGAAGGUUAAUUGAUGGGGUCAGCGCAAGCGAAGCUCUUGAUCGAAGCCCCGGUAAACGGCGGCCGUAACUAUAACGGUCCUAAGGUAGCGAAAUUCCUUGUCGGGUAAGUUCCGACCUGCACGAAUGGCGUAAUGAUGGCCAGGCUGUCUCCACCCGAGACUCAGUGAAAUUGAACUCGCUGUGAAGAUGCAGUGUACCCGCGGCAAGACGGAAAGACCCCGUGAACCUUUACUAUAGCUUGACACUGAACAUUGAGCCUUGAUGUGUAGGAUAGGUGGGAGGCUUUGAAGUGUGGACGCCAGUCUGCAUGGAGCCGGCCUUGAAAUACCACCCUUUAAUGUUUGAUGUUCUAACGUGGACCCGUGAUCCGGGUUGCGGACAGUGUCUGGUGGGUAGUUUGACUGGGGCGGUCUCCUCCUAAAGAGUAACGGAGGAGCACGAAGGUUGGCUAAUCCUGGUCGGACAUCAGGAGGUUAGUGCAAUGGCAUAAGCCAGCUUGACUGCGAGCGUGACGGCGCGAGCAGGUGCGAAAGCAGGUCAUAGUGAUCCGGUGGUUCUGAAUGGAAGGGCCAUCGCUCAACGGAUAAAAGGUACUCCGGGGAUAACAGGCUGAUACCGCCCAAGAGUUCAUAUCGACGGCGGUGUUUGGCACCUCGAUGUCGGCUCAUCACAUCCUGGGGCUGAAGUAGGUCCCAAGGGUAUGGCUGUUCGCCAUUUAAAGUGGUACGCGAGCUGGGUUUAGAACGUCGUGAGACAGUUCGGUCCCUAUCUGCCGUGGGCGCUGGAGAACUGAGGGGGGCUGCUCCUAGUACGAGAGGACCGGAGUGGACGCAUCACUGGUGUUCGGGUUGUCAUGCCAAUGGCACUGCCCGGUAGCUAAAUGCGGAAGAGAUAAGUGCUGAAAGCAUCUAAGCACGAAACUUGCCCCGAGAUGAGUUCUCCCUGACCCUUUAAGGGUCCUGAAGGAACGUUGAAGACGACGACGUUGAUAGGCCGGGUGUGUAAGCGCAGCGAUGCGUUGAGCUAACCGGUACUAAUGAACCGUGAGGCUUAACCUUACAACGCCGAAG